This 482-nucleotide ribosomal RNA is filed under the name uncultured bacterium. Its description in RNAcentral is "partial 16S ribosomal RNA". It matches the Rfam family "Bacterial small subunit ribosomal RNA", at positions 30 to 507 of the family's 1533-position model. The record is from RNAcentral.
AUUGAACGCUGGCGGCAGGCCUAACACAUGCAAGUCGAGCGGAUGAAGGGAGCUUGCUCCUGGAUUCAGCGGCGGACGGGUGAGUAAUGCCUAGGAAUCUGCCUGGUAGUGGGGGAUAACGUCCGGAAACGGGCGCUAAUACCGCAUACGUCCUGAGGGAGAAAGUGGGGGAUCUUCGGACCUCACGCUAUCAGAUGAGCCUAGGUCGGAUUAGCUAGUUGGUGGGGUAAAGGCCUACCAAGGCGACGAUCCGUAACUGGUCUGAGAGGAUGUUCAGUCACACUGGAACUGAGACACGGUCCAGACUCCUACGGGAGGCAGCAGUGGGGAAUAUUGGACAAUGGGCGAAAGCCUGAUCCAGCCAUGCCGCGUGUGAAGAGGGUCUUCGGAUUGUAAAGCACUUUAAGUUGGGAGGAAGGGCAGUAAGUUAAUACCUUGCUGUUUUGACGUUACCAACAGAAUAAGCACCGGCUAACUUCGUG